UGCCCAGAUACGCCAACGGCGAGCGGCCUGGCUUAGGAUCAGGUGUUUGCAGGUUCGACUCCUGCCCGGCGC
This 72-nucleotide transfer RNA is filed under the name Posidoniimonas corsicana. RNAcentral's name for it is "Planctomycetes bacterium KOR34 tRNA-Leu". It matches the Rfam family "tRNA". Rfam says of the family: Transfer RNA (tRNA) molecules are approximately 80 nucleotides in length. Lineage: Bacteria; Pseudomonadati; Planctomycetota; Planctomycetia; Pirellulales; Lacipirellulaceae. The record is from RNAcentral.